RNAcentral lists this ribosomal RNA (1003 nucleotides) under uncultured bacterium. RNAcentral's name for it is "bacterial SSU rRNA". It matches the Rfam family "Bacterial small subunit ribosomal RNA", at positions 356 to 1376 of the family's 1533-position model. The record is from RNAcentral.
GGGGAAUAUUGCGCAAUGGGGGCAACCCUGACGCAGCAACGCCGCGUGCAGGAAGAAGGUCUUCGGAUUGUAAACUGUUGUCGCAAGGGAAGAAGACAGUGACGGUACCUUGUGAGAAAGUCACGGCUAACUACGUGCCAGCAGCCGCGGUAAUACGUAGGUGACAAGCGUUGUCCGGAUUUACUGGGUGUAAAGGGCGCGUAGGCGGACUGUCAAGUCAGUCGUGAAAUACCGGGGCUUAACCCCGGGGCUGCGAUUGAAACUGACAGCCUUGAGUAUCGGAGAGGAAAGCGGAAUUCCUAGUGUAGCGGUGAAAUGCGUAGAUAUUAGGAGGAACACCAGUGGCGAAGGCGGCUUUCUGGACGACAACUGACGCUGAGGCGCGAAAGCGUGGGGAGCAAACAGGAUUAGAUACCCUGGUAGUCCACGCUGUAAACGAUGAAUACUAGGUGUGGGAGGACUGACCCCUUCCGUGCCGCAGUUAACACAAUAAGUAUUCCACCUGGGGAGUACGAUCGCAAGAUUGAAACUCAAAGGAAUUGACGGGGGCCCGCACAAGCAGUGGAUUAUGUGGUUUAAUUCGACGCAACGCGAAGAACCUUACCGGGAUUUGACAUCCUACUAACGAAGCAGAGAUGCAUUAGGUGCCCUUCGGGGAAAGUAGAGACAGGUGGUGCAUGGUUGUCGUCAGCUCGUGUCGUGAGAUGUUGGGUUAAGUCCCGCAACGAGCGCAACCCCUAUUGUUAGUUGCUACGCAAGAGCACUCUAGCGAGACUGCCGUUGACAAAACGGAGGAAGGUGGGGAUGACGUCAAAUCAUCAUGCCCUUUAUGACCUGGGCUACACACGUACUACAAUGGCGUUUAACAAAGAGAAGCAAGACCGCGAGGUGGAGCAAAACUCAGAAACAACGUCUCAGUUCAGAUUGCAGGCUGCAACUCGCCUGCAUGAAGUCGGAAUUGCUAGUAAUCGCGGAUCAGCAUGCCGCGGUGAAUACGUUCCCG